Molecule: ribosomal RNA, 978 nt
Filed under: Thaxterogaster medioscaurus
Lineage: Eukaryota; Fungi; Basidiomycota; Agaricomycetes; Agaricales; Cortinariaceae
Description: eukaryotic LSU rRNA
Rfam family: Eukaryotic large subunit ribosomal RNA
Source: RNAcentral
GUGACCUCAAAUCAGGUAGGACUACCCGCUGAACUUAAGCAUAUCAAUAAGCGGAGGAAAAGAAACUAACAAGGAUUCCCCUAGUAACUGCGAGUGAAGCGGGAAAAGCUCAAAUUUAAAAUCUGGCAGUCUUUGGCUGUCCGAGUUGUAAUCUAGAGAAGUGUUAUCCGCGUUGGACCGUGUACAAGUCUCCUGGAAUGGAGCGUCAUAGAGGGUGAGAAUCCCGUCUUUGACACGGACUGCCAGGGCUUUGUGAUGCGCUCUCAAAGAGUCGAGUUGUUUGGGAAUGCAGCUCAAAAUGGGUGGUAAAUUCCAUCUAAAGCUAAAUAUUGGCGAGAGACCGAUAGCGAACAAGUACCGUGAGGGAAAGAUGAAAAGAACUUUGGAAAGAGAGUUAAACAGUACGUGAAAUUGCUGAAAGGGAAACGCUUGAAGUCAGUCACRUUGGUCAGGAAUCAACCUUGCUUCUGCUUGGUGUAUUUUCUGGUUGAUGGGUCAGCAUCAAUUUUGAUCAUUGGAAAAAGGUCAGGGGAAUGUGGCAUCCUUGGAUGUGUUAUAGCCCUUGAUUGUAUACAAUGGUUGGGAUUGAGGAACUCAGCACGCCGCAAGGCCGGGUUUUUAACCAUGUUCGUGCUUAGGAUGCUGGCAUAAUGGCUUUAAUCGACCCGUCUUGAAACACGGACCAAGGAGUCUAACAUGCCUGCGAGUGUUUGGGUGGAAAACCCGAGCGCGUAAUGAAAGUGAAAGUUGAGAUCCCUGUCAUGGGGAGCAUCGACGCCCGGACCAGACCUUUUGUGACGGUUCCGCGGUAGAGCAUGUAUGUUGGGACCCGAAAGAUGGUGAACUAUGCCUGAAUAGGGUGAAGCCAGAGGAAACUCUGGUGGAGGCUCGUAGCGAUUCUGACGUGCAAAUCGAUCGUCAAAUUUGGGUAUAGGGGCGAAAGACUAAUCGAACCAUCUAGUAGCUGGUUCCUGCCGA